RNAcentral lists this long non-coding RNA (945 nucleotides) under Homo sapiens (human). Its description in RNAcentral is "novel transcript, antisense to ABCA12". The record is from RNAcentral. Lineage: Eukaryota; Metazoa; Chordata; Mammalia; Primates; Hominidae.
ACUGCCUGAUGCUUUUCAAAUGUAUCUGAAUCAGAAUCGAACACCCACUUUAUGCAUAGCUCCCUAAUCAGGAAGUUAUUCUUCCCAUCAAAGCAACUGGAAAGAAAAAAGAUAAAACAAUGAAGGGAGGAGAAAACACAAAAGUUCAAGAAGAGCAGAAUGUUCCGGCAAGGAGAAAAAGCUGGGAAAAGUCACCAAUGAAUGCCAGGGUUCACCACUAUCUUAGGAAUAUCAUGAAUAAAGCGUUAGAUUGGGUGUGCCCUAACUGAUGGUCACAAGCAUGAUACUAAUUAUCAGGGUGAACAAAGCAGGGGAGUAAGAGCAUCAGUAACUGUGAAACUCUAGGAGUUUGUCUUCAUUCUUUCAGUGAUAGAAUAUCUAGCAUUUGUAUUUCGUACAUCAUACACUUGAGUUAGUAUCUGUGGAAAGGAUAAAUACAUAAGGAAAAGAGAUGCAGGAAGCUGCAGAGACACUGGCCAUUUAUCUGAGAAGUGCCCAAUGAGGCAUCACCGGAUAAGCACACGUCGGGUCGUUCUCCUGCUUCAGUCUGUGGCGUUGACAUUAUCAAUGCUAUGGAUGCCUCAAGGCUCUCAUAAAAAUACAUGGCUUCAGCAAUACGCAUGCAGUUAUCUCAGUUUAAAGGAAAUGGGUUCUGCUCCCUGCUUAAUAAGAAAUCCUGCUUACUUCUCCAGCUUUUGAAGCACAGAUUAUUUUUCUUCUCUUCAUCAUAUAAAAAUGGAAAUUAUCAAAACAAAACAUCAUCAAAACAAAACAUCAUCAAAAACAGGUUGCUCUCUGAGUAAAGGUUUUAUGUUUGUUUGGGAUAGAAUCUCAUUCUGUCACCCAGGCCAGAGAGCACUGACAUUAUCAUGGCUCACUGCAACCUCAAACUCCCAAGCUCAAGCGAUCCUCCCACCUCAGCCUCCCAAGUAGCUGGGACCACAG